RNAcentral lists this ribosomal RNA (446 nucleotides) under uncultured Leptolinea sp. RNAcentral's name for it is "bacterial SSU rRNA". It matches the Rfam family "Bacterial small subunit ribosomal RNA", at positions 923 to 1382 of the family's 1533-position model. Lineage: Bacteria; Bacillati; Chloroflexota; Anaerolineae; Anaerolineales; Anaerolineaceae. The record is from RNAcentral.
GCACAAGCAGCGGAGCGUGUGGUUUAAUUCGAUGUUACACGAAGAACCUUACCAGGGUUUGACAUGCAAGUGGUAGGAAGCCGAAAGGUGACCGACCCUUCGGGGAGCUUGCACAGGUGCUGCAUGGCUGUCGUCAGCUCGUGUCGUGAGAUGUUCGGUUAAGUCCGCUAACGAGCGCAACCCUCGCUGUGUGUUAUAUGUGUCACACGGGACUGCCGGUCUUAAGCCGGAGGAAGGUGAGGAUGAUGUCAAGUCAGCAUGACCUUUAUAUCCAGGGCUACACACACGCUACAAUGGUCUGUACAAUGGGUAGCCAAGCCGCGAGGCGGAGCCAAUCCUGAAAGCAGGCCUCAGUUCAGAUUGCAGUCUGCAACUCGACUGCAUGAAGCCGGAGUUGCUAGUAACCGCAGGUCAGCAAUACUGCGGUGAAUACGUUCCCGGGUCUU